GGCUGGUCCAAAAGUAGUUAUCUCAAUUGAUUGUUCACAGUCAGUUACAGAUCAAACUCCUUGUUCUACUGUUUCCCCCUUCUCACUACUGCAAUUGACUAGUUUAAA
Molecule: Y RNA, 108 nt
Filed under: Prolemur simus (greater bamboo lemur)
Lineage: Eukaryota; Metazoa; Chordata; Mammalia; Primates; Lemuridae
Description: Y RNA (ENSPSMG00000020854.1)
Rfam family: Y RNA
About the family: Y RNAs are components of the Ro ribonucleoprotein particle (Ro RNP), in association with Ro60 and La proteins.
Source: Rfam by way of RNAcentral